RNAcentral lists this ribosomal RNA (253 nucleotides) under uncultured bacterium. RNAcentral describes it as "partial 16S ribosomal RNA". It matches the Rfam family "Bacterial small subunit ribosomal RNA", at positions 524 to 776 of the family's 1533-position model. The record is from RNAcentral.
UACGUAGGUGGCAAGCGUUGUCCGGAUUUAUUGGGUUUAAAGGGUGCGUAGGCGGUCUAUUAAGUCAGUGGUGAAAUACUCCAGCCUAACUGGAGGGGUGCGAUUGAUACUGAUGGACUUGAGUGAAGUCGAGGUAGGCGGAAUUGACGGUGUAGCGGUGAAAUGCUUAGAUAUCGUCAAGAACACCAAUAGUGAAGACAGCUUACUAGGCUUAUACUGACGCUGAGGCACGAAAGUGUGGGGAUCAAACAGG